This 22-nucleotide ribosomal RNA is filed under the name Calopogonium caeruleum. RNAcentral describes it as "partial large subunit ribosomal RNA". Lineage: Eukaryota; Viridiplantae; Streptophyta; Magnoliopsida; Fabales; Fabaceae. The record is from RNAcentral. RNAcentral also lists the same sequence under 2 other names.
CGAGACCUCAGGUCAGGCGGGG